Leucoraja erinaceus (little skate) is the source of this 2611-nucleotide long non-coding RNA. RefSeq lists it as uncharacterized. The record is from RefSeq and is a predicted model, not a curated record. NCBI's taxonomy places the organism in Eukaryota, Metazoa, Chordata, Chondrichthyes, Rajiformes, Rajidae. The transcript has 4 exons.
CAGGGGGCGCUGACGUCAGGCGGGCCGGGCCGGGCCGCGCCGCCGCUCGCUGCUCCUUUGGCCGCCGGCGGCCACCGUAGGCGGGAGCGGACAGCGCCGCUGCCUAGCAACGGGCCCGAGGCGCCGCCACAGGGGGGAGGCCUGAGGUGAUAUAAAUGAAUAACCACAAUACUAGUGCAAAAAAACCAAGUGCAGUGCAACCAAAGACAGUCCAUGGAAGUUCAUAGUUGCUCAGCUGCUUUAAGUAGACGAUACCAGCAGUUCUCUGGAGAGAUGAAGUGGAUGCAGUUACAGACAGGAAUAGAUUCUCAGCAAAGGAAGAAAUCCUCCCAUUCCAGGAAUUAGUCAUUUGCAAGCGGAUUUGGGCAACUGAAGAUAUGAAAUAUGUACGGAAGAUAUUCCACUAAAUACGACCUCCAUGAAUAAUGUUGGAAAGAUUUGACUUGAGGUGAUAUCUCUGGGGGGUAUAUACACUUUCACAUCAUGUUUGUUUCACACUGCAUGCAUUGUGCUACGUAAAGCCCAUCCCAUUAUGCCACUGCUUCUUUACAAAUUGUCUAAACUUCUUCCGACGCAUUCACUUCCUUUCUUCAAUAAGGAGCCUUUUCUUCUAGCCCUUAUUUGGUUUCCCAAUACAUUACAUAACAGGCAUAACCCACCAACCUUUGCAAUCAAUUACCCUAGCAACAAAUGAUAAGAUUCUGUAAUCAGUAUUUAUUUCACUACUUGCUGUACCUACUUACUCAUCCUUUGCACUAGGAAAUCCAGUUCUCUCUGCACCCCUGAGCUCUGCAAGCUAUUACCAUUUAGAUAACGAUCUUUGUCAUUUUUCAUGCCAAAAUGGGCCAUUUCACAUUUUCCCACAUUUAACUCCAUUGCCAGCUCUUAAUCUGUUGAAUAUCGCUUUGCAGCCUCCUCAUGUCCCUUCACUAAUUGCCUUCAUAUCUUUUUAUGUAUCGUUAGCAAAUAUAUCAACCAUUCCUUCAUCACGGUGAUUUAUACAAUUUGUACAAGGUUAAGGCCCGAGCACUGAUUCCUGUGCUAAAUGGAAAAAGACACAUUUAUGCUUAUUUUCUGUUGCCUGUUAGCAAACUUCUACCCUUGUUAAUAUAUCACCCCUUUUAUUUUCUGCAAUGAUCCCUAUUGCAGCAACUUAUCAAUGUCCUCUGAUAUUCUAACUACAGUAUAUUCGAUUCUCUUUUAUCUAUACUACGUGUAACUCUAGCAAAGAACUCGAAUGAACUGGUCAAACAUGGUUUCUCUUUCACAAAAACAUGUUGUCUUGGGCUGAUUACCAUGAAUCUUUCUGUAAUCCUUCUAUAAUCCUCUACAGAAGGGUAGAUAAUUGCUGACAUGCACUAGAUUAUACCAUAAUGGUUAGAAUGCUCACUGUCAUGAGAAUAACUGAGGAAACGAGUGGGAGCUAUAAAACUGUUGUGUUUGACGCUUUUCCUCACUUGGCUUUGCUGUGGAUAUGUUGGUUGGGAUGAAGGCUUGUACAUCUCCAUGGGCAAAGCGUAAAAUGGGAACUAUUUUCUGCAGCUACCCAGGGGAGAGUAUUCUACAGUCCCUGCCGAUUAAUGGAGUCAAUAGACAAUAGACUAUUGCAGGAGUAGCCAUUUGGCCCUUCGAGCCAGCGCCGCCAUUCAAUGUGAUCAUGGCUCAUCAUCCCCAAUCAGUACCCCGUUCGGGCCUUCUCCUCGUAUCCCCUGACUCUGCUAUUUUUAAGAGCCCCAUCUAGCUCUCUCUUGAAAGCAUCCAGAGAACCGGCCUCCACCGCCCUCUGAGGCAGAGAAUUCCACAGACUCACCACUCUCUGAUAGAAAAAGUGUUUCCUCAUCUCCGUUCUAAAUGGCUUACUCCUUAUUCUUAAACUAUGGCCCCUGGUUCUGGACUCCCCCAACAUCGGGAACAUGUUUCCUGCCUCUAGCAUGUCCAAGUCCUUAACAAUCUUAUAUGUUUCAAUGAGAUACCCACUCAUCCUUAUAAACUCCAGAGUGUACAAGCCCAGUUGCUCCAUUCUCAAAAGCUUUUGUGACGUUGAUAAAAGCUGUGCAAAAUGGAGGGGAGAGCUGCUGCUUGCUGCAGUAUUCUGGGAGUUGUCACGUCAUGAAGAUGUGGAGCUAAACUUCAGACCACGCUCCAGAAUCAAGGUCAUCAAACAGCAUUUGCGUAUAUUGGAAGGCCAAGUUACAAGUCAUCAUUGGAUAAUUCACUGAAGCAUACUCGAGGAUUGGCCUUACACUCAACAUUUGCAGGAUGUGGACUCACAGUGAGACCCUGGGAAAUGUGGCUUCCUUUGCACCAUUGCUACUCCAGAAACACAGUUACUGCAACCCGAGUUGUUGAGCUACAGUGUGCAGACAUAUGUCAUUGUGAGGCUCAGCUCCAAAUCAUUGUUGACUUGUUCAGUGAAGCUUUAGAGAGAAUGGGUCCUGCACUUAACAUCUGCAGGAUCAUCUGCCUCACUGCACAACAACAAAGGUUGACAGCAAGACCCGGAAAACAUCCCCACAUCUCAGAUGUCACCUCUCAGCAAAGGCAGGCAUCGAAGCUGAAAUCCGCCAGCACACUCAAUGCGGCAGCAUGGUCUUUGGUCAUUUGAAGAAAA